Molecule: ribosomal RNA, 1465 nt
Filed under: Prochlorococcus sp. AG-463-P23
Lineage: Bacteria; Bacillati; Cyanobacteriota; Cyanophyceae; Synechococcales; Prochlorococcaceae
Description: bacterial SSU rRNA
Rfam family: Bacterial small subunit ribosomal RNA
Source: RNAcentral
AGAGUUUGAUCCUGGCUCAGGAUGAACGCUGGCGGCGUGCUUAACACAUGCAAGUCGAACGAACCUUCGGGUUAGUGGCGGACGGGUGAGUAACGCGUGGGAAUCUGCCCUCAGGAGGGGGAUAACGGUUGGAAACGGCCGCUAAUACCCCAUAUGCCGAGAGGUGAAAUGAAUUUCGCCUGAGGAUGAGCCCGCGUCUGAUUAGCUAGUUGGUGAGGUAAUGGCUCACCAAGGCAUCGAUCAGUAGCUGGUCUGAGAGGAUGAUCAGCCACACUGGGACUGAGACACGGCCCAGACUCCUACGGGAGGCAGCAGUGGGGAAUUUUCCGCAAUGGGCGCAAGCCUGACGGAGCAACGCCGCGUGAGGGAUGAAGGCCUCUGGGCUGUAAACCUCUUUUCUCAAGGAAGAAGAUCUGACGGUACUUGAGGAAUAAGCCACGGCUAAUUCCGUGCCAGCAGCCGCGGUAAUACGGGAGUGGCAAGCGUUAUCCGGAAUUAUUGGGCGUAAAGCGUCCGCAGGCGGCUUUUCAAGUCUGCUGUUAAAACGUGGAGCUUAACUCCAUCAAGGCAGUGGAAACUGAUUGGCUUGAGUGUGGUAGGGGCAGAGGGAAUUCCCGGUGUAGCGGUGAAAUGCGUAGAUAUCGGGAAGAACACCAGUGGCGAAGGCGCUCUGCUGGGCCAUAACUGACGCUCAUGGACGAAAGCCAGGGGAGCGAAAGGGAUUAGAUACCCCUGUAGUCCUGGCCGUAAACGAUGAACACUAGGUGUCGGGGGAAUCGACCCCCUCGGUGUCGUAGCCAACGCGUUAAGUGUUCCGCCUGGGGAGUACGCACGCAAGUGUGAAACUCAAAGGAAUUGACGGGGGCCCGCACAAGCGGUGGAGUAUGUGGUUUAAUUCGAUGCAACGCGAAGAACCUUACCAGGGUUUGACAUCCUGCGAAUCUCUUGGAAACGAGAGAGUGCCUUUGGGAACGCAGUGACAGGUGGUGCAUGGCUGUCGUCAGCUCGUGUCGUGAGAUGUUGGGUUAAGUCCCGCAACGAGCGCAACCCACGUUUUUAGUUGCCAGCAUUUAGUUGGGCACUCUAGAGAGACCGCCGGUGAUAAACCGGAGGAAGGUGUGGAUGACGUCAAGUCAUCAUGCCCCUUACAUCCUGGGCUACACACGUACUACAAUGCUACGGACAAAGGGCAGCAAGUUCGCGAGGACAAGCAAAUCCCAUAAACCGUGGCUCAGUUCAGAUCGUAGGCUGCAACUCGCCUACGUGAAGAAGGAAUCGCUAGUAAUCGCAGGUCAGCAUACUGCGGUGAAUACGUUCCCGGGCCUUGUACACACCGCCCGUCACACCAUGGAAGUUGGCCACGCCCGAAGUCGUUACUCCAACCCUUGUGGAGGAGGACGCCGAAGGUGGGGCUGAUGACUGGGGUGAAGUCGUAACAAGGUAUCCGUACCGGAAGGUGCGGAUG